This 2136-nucleotide unclassified non-coding RNA is filed under the name Pyricularia oryzae. RNAcentral describes it as "sequence contains 5.8S rRNA gene, ITS2". The stretch from base 887 to 1040 matches the Rfam family "5.8S ribosomal RNA". The record is from RNAcentral. Lineage: Eukaryota; Fungi; Ascomycota; Sordariomycetes; Magnaporthales; Pyriculariaceae.
UUAAACAUUCUGGGGGUUUUUUUUAAAAAAAAAAUUUUUUUUUCCUGUUUUUUCUCUCUUCUUUUUUUUUUUAACCUUUUUUUUCUUCUAAAAAAAAAAAAAUAAUUAUUAAUAAUAAAUUUUGGGGGGGCGUGGUGUGUGGGUUUCCCCCCCCCCCGGGGGGGGGCGGGGGGUGGAUGAAACUUUAAAAAAAAAAAAAAGAAAAAAAGGGGGGGGGGGGGGUUGGGAGGCGGGGGGGGAAAAAACCCCGGGCGGGGGAAUAAAUUCCAAAAAAAAAAGGUUUUCCGGUUUUUUUAACCCCGUUUUUUUUAACCGGGCCCUUAAAGGUUAAACCGAAAGAACCCCCCGCCGGAAUGAAAUUUGGGGGCCCCCCGGCCCCGGAAGGGCCCCCGGGGCCGCCCCCCAAAACAACCCAAGGCCGAGGCUGAGGUGAAAAUGAUCGCUUGAAACCAGGCAUGCCCCGCCGAAAUAAGCCGCGGGCGCCAAAUUGGCUUAAAAAGAUUGACUGAUUUCCAGUGAAUUUUCUGCAAUUUUCAACAUUAAUCUUAUCCGCAUUUUCGCUGCUUUCUUUCAUCGAUGCCAGAACCCAAGAGUUCCCGUUGUGAAAGUUUUGAUUAUUUGUCUUUCAGGCUCAGAGAUACGGAAAAAAUAAGAGUUUUGAACCUCCGGCGGGUGCCCGCCGAAGCAACGACAGAGGUUAUGUUCACAGGUUGGAGUUUUUCAACUCAGUUUCUGAUACUGGUACCUGCGGAGGGAUCAUUACUGAGUUGAAAAACUCCAACCCCUGUGAACAUAACCUCUGUCGUUGCUUCGGCGGGCACGCCCGCCGGAGGUUCAAAACUCUUAUUUUUUCCAGUAUCUCUGAGCCUGAAAGACAAAUAAUCAAAACUUUCAACAACGGAUCUCUUGGUUCUGGCAUCGAUGAAGAACGCAGCGAAAUGCGAUAAGUAAUGUGAAUUGCAGAAUUCAGUGAAUCAUCGAAUCUUUGAACGCACAUUGCGCCCGCCGGUAUUCCGGCGGGCAUGCCUGUUCGAGCGUCAUUUCAACCCUCAAGCCUCGGCUUGGUGUUGGGGCGCCCGGGCCCUCCGCGGCCCGGGGCCCCCAAGUUCAUCGGCGGGCUCGUCGGUACACUGAGCGCAGUAAAACGCGGUAAAACGCGAACCUCGUUCGGAUCGUCCCGGCGUGCUCCAGCCGCUAAACCCCCAAUUUUUUAGAGGUUGACCUCGGAUCAGGUAGGAAUACCCGCUGAACUUAAGCAUAUCAAUAAAGGAUCAUUACUGAGUUGAAAAACUCCACCCUGUGAACAUAACCUCUGUCGUUGCUUCGGGCGGGCACCCCGCCGGAGGUUCAAAACUCUUAUUUUUUUCCGGUAUCUCUGAGCCUGAAAGACAAAUAAUCAAAACUUUCAACAACGGGAUCUCUUGGGUUCUGGCAUCGAUGAAAGAAAGCAGCGAAAAUGCGAAUAAGUUAAAUGGUGAAAAUUGCAGAAAAUUCAUUGGAAAUCAUCAAAAUCUUUUUUAAGCCCAUUUGGCGGCCCGCGGCUUAUUUCGGGCGGGGCAUGCCUGGUUUCAAGCGGUCAUUUUUCACCCCAACCCCCGGCCUUGGGUUGUUUUUGGGGGGCGGCCCCCGGGGGGCCCCUCUCGGGCCCGGGGGGGCCCCCCAAGAUUUUUAUACUUGGGGGGGGGUUCUUUCUCGGUUUCCACUCUGUAGGGCCGGGGGUUAAAAAAAACCCGGGGGGGAAAAAAACCCGAAAAAAACCCCCCUUUUCUGGGAAAAAAUUUCCCCCCGGCCGGGGGGGGUGGUUUUUCCCCCCCGCGCCUUAUAAACCCCCCCCCCCCCCCCCUCUUUUUUUUUUUUUUUUUUAAGAAGUAAUGGAAAACCUCCCCGCCCACCCCCCCCCCGUCCGCCACGGGGAAAAAAAUGACAACACGCUAACCACGCCGCCCGCCUCCCAACAAAAAAUAAAAAAUCCCCUUUUUUAUUUUUGUUCCAGGGGAGGGGGUACUAGGAGAGGGAAACGAAAAAAGAGGGAAAAAAAAGGCAAAAAAAAAAUUUGGGGAAGGUUCUUUUUUUUCUUUUUUUCCCCCCAACGGUGGGGCCGCCCAAAAAACGGGACGAGGGGGGGGGGGGGGGAAA